Molecule: ribosomal RNA, 818 nt
Filed under: uncultured fungus
Lineage: Eukaryota; Fungi
Description: partial 28S ribosomal RNA
Rfam family: Eukaryotic large subunit ribosomal RNA
Source: RNAcentral
GCAUAUAANUAAGCGGNGGAAAAGAAACUAACUNGGAUUNCCNUNNGUAANNNNGAGNGANNNGNGAAAAGCUCAAUUUUGAANUCUACCANGAGUAGCAUUCUNGGUNGAAUNGUAGUUUCANGAANGAANGACNNNGNGAAGCCGGUUNGGAUGCAAGUUCUUNGGAAUGNGACAUCAGAGANGGNGACAAUCCCGUCCAUCGUCCAUCCGUUGAUANGAAUGCUUCUCACCAAAAGGUCGUCUUUUCCAAGNGUCGAGUUGUUNGGGAUNGCAGCUCAAAAUGGGNGGUAAAUUUCAUCUAAGGCUAAAUAUGGGUGAGAGACCGAUAGCGAACAAGUACCGUGAGGGAAAGAUGAAAAGCACUCUGAAGAGAGAGUGAAAAGUACGUGAAAUUGUUGAAAGGGAAACGCUUGAAACCAGUCGAGGUUUGCUAGAUUUCAGGGGAGUUUUUCUCAUGUGUUGGGCGAGAUUGGCGUGGAGAUCUGUUUGUGUUUGUAUGGACAGACUUUUGCGCCAGCUUUUUAGCCUGAUCAUGCUCUCUGUACGUUUCUAGUAAACAAGUCAGCAUCAGUUUGAUUUUGCGCUUGGGAGAAGGACAAGUAGGAUUUGGUCGGGCUUUUGUGGGGGGAUUUUUUCUCUCUUGCAAAGGUUUGGAGCCUUGCUUGUCAUAUACCAAGUGUCAGACUGAGGAUUGCAUUACAGGGCAUUGACUUGGAAUAGGCAAUCUUGCGGGGUUGCUCUUGGUAAACAGCUUGCUGAUUGCCAAGGGUUUUUCAACUCCCAAGCCUUGUCAAAUCCAGGCUGGUCUUUGAUUU